AUGGGUUUUCAGAGAAAGAUUCUUCUGCCCGAGAGAGCCACCAUCCAGAAGACCGACGCUGGAACUCUGCAGCCGCUGAAGAUGAAGCGGCCUCGUGACGGUGAGGACGAAGGCGCUUCGGGGCCGCUGACGCCGACGGCGAACAGCGCAGGGACCGCGCAUCCGCGCUGCCCGCCGGCGCCGCCGAAGAAGCCGAGGCUCGUGCUGGGGUGCAGCCUGGACGGGUUCAAGGUUGUGAGCAUCAUGGACUUGCGUUGCUUCCUUCGUUGA
This 270-nucleotide ribosomal RNA is filed under the name Triticum aestivum (bread wheat). RNAcentral's name for it is "partial small subunit ribosomal RNA". The record is from RNAcentral. Lineage: Eukaryota; Viridiplantae; Streptophyta; Magnoliopsida; Poales; Poaceae.